AUACUCACAGAGAAGGAUUAGAACUAAAAAGAAGAGGCAGCUUGCCUGGAUGAAAUCAUUCAACUGAAGCCAUCAGGAAAAAUUCAAUGGGACACAGGUGGAAAGAAGACAAAGACUUCUUUAUCUGAGAGCACAUCUUCUGAAUGUCCAUUCCAGGAAACUCAGAUACCUUUUCUAGUCUACCUAAAAAACUUUGAAAACAACAUAGAUGAAAAAUAAUGGAAUGACUUCAACAAAGACAGUAUUCUCCUCUCCUGGGGACAUGGUUCAUUCUCUGCCAAAAUGCUCAUUUGACCCUACAAGUUAACGACAGAUGGACACUGCUGUACUCAGAACAGUCACACUAUGUCCAAAACAAAGACUCAGCAGAACAUCUGAACUUUGCUAGCCCCUGUGGCAGUCCGCAAGAUGCUUGACAAGAUCAUCCAAAGUAAGCUAACGUGUAUUUCCAUCACUACCCACGGGCUUGGAAGAUUUUAAAGACAUUCUGUUCAAACUGCAAUAAAUCCCACAUAGACUCAGAGAAGCUAUGCAGGAGGAUCUGCUGCAGCAUUUGUGCAGAUGAGUGCCAGUGGACUCAGUGAGGUGCAAUAGUCAGACUACAGUCACACGAUCAAAAAGACAGAAUGGGCUUCCUGAUCUGGGUCUUGCAGCACAAUUCUAGGUUGAGAGCAUCAGCUACACCUGUAGACUCCACGGCCACAACGAACACACACAACAGAUCCCUCCAGAUCUGUCCAUCCCCAUUACUGCCGGUAGAGGGCAUCUUCCCAUCUUGACGCACCAUUGCAAGUGAUUUCUGCCUGGGUAUCCUGCUCCGUUCUCUGCUCCUGAAACCCUUUUUCCAUAGAGCAGCCAGAGUGACCUUUUUAAUAGGCUGAAAGCCCUCCAAAGCCUUCUCUUCCCACCUACUAUAAAAUCCCCAUGCUGGGCUGGCUGAUCAAGUCCCCCACGGUGUGGUCGUGCAUGCAUCUCAGACCUCUCUCCUCCAUCCUCUCCCUUCCUUUCUUCACUCCUGACAACAGACCUGGUUUGUGCUCUUCAAGCACGUCG
This is a long non-coding RNA of Diceros bicornis minor, 1053 nucleotides long. RefSeq lists it as uncharacterized. NCBI's taxonomy places the organism in Eukaryota, Metazoa, Chordata, Mammalia, Perissodactyla, Rhinocerotidae. The transcript has 6 exons. The record is from RefSeq and is a predicted model, not a curated record.